Molecule: ribosomal RNA, 497 nt
Filed under: uncultured bacterium
Lineage: Bacteria
Description: partial 16S ribosomal RNA
Rfam family: Bacterial small subunit ribosomal RNA
Source: RNAcentral
GAUGAACGCUGGCGGCGUGCCUAAUACAUGCAAGUCGAGCGAACAGACGAGGAGCUUGCUCCUCUGACGUUAGCGGCGGACGGGUGAGUAACACGUGGAUAACCUACCUAUAAGACUGGGAUAACUUCGGGAAACCGGAGCUAAUACCGGAUAAUAUAUUGAACCGCAUGGUUCAAUAGUGAAAGACGGUUUUGCUGUCACUUAUAGAUGGAUCCGCGCCGCAUUAGCUAGUUGGUAAGGUAACGGCUUACCAAGGCGACGAUGCGUAGCCGACCUGAGAGGGGUACUGGGCCCACUGGAACUGGGACCCGGUCCAGACUCCUACGGGAGGCAGCCGUAGGGAAUUCUCCGCAAUGGGCGAAAGCCUGACGGAGCAACGCCGCGUGAGUGAUGAAGGUCUUCGGAUCGUAAAACUCUGUUAUUAGGGAAGAACAAAUGUGUAAGUAACUAUGCACGUCUUGACGGUACCUAAUCAGAAAGCCACGGCUAACUACGUG